Molecule: ribosomal RNA, 328 nt
Filed under: uncultured eukaryote
Lineage: Eukaryota
Description: partial 18S ribosomal RNA
Rfam family: Eukaryotic small subunit ribosomal RNA
Source: RNAcentral
CCCUUAGAUGUUCUGGGCCGCACGCGUGCUACACUGAUGCAUUCAACGAGCUUAUAACCUUGGCCGAGAGGCCUGGGCAAUCUUGUUAACGUGCAUCGUGAUAGGGAUAGAUUAUUGAAAUUAUUAAUCUUGAACGAGGAAUUCCUAGUAAACGCAGAUCAUCAAUCUGCAUUGAUUACGUCCCUGCCCUUUGUACACACCGCCCGUCGCACCUACCGAUUGGAUGGUCCGGUGAAGCCUCGGGAUUGUGGUUCUUGCCGCUUUAUUGUGGCGUGACCGCGAGAACUUGUCUAAACCUUAUCAUCUAGAGGAAGGUGAAGUCGUAACA